GUUUCUGUAGUUAAAGUUUUGUAACGAUGGCUUUUCAGGCUGUAGAUCUCGGAGAAAGGCCGAGCAGGAAUU
This 72-nucleotide transfer RNA is filed under the name Phylloscopus burkii. RNAcentral's name for it is "tRNA-Glu". The record is from RNAcentral. Lineage: Eukaryota; Metazoa; Chordata; Aves; Passeriformes; Phylloscopidae.